GGGAAUAGCUCAAUUGGCAGAGCGUCGGUCUCCAAAACCGAAGGUCGGGGGUUCGAGGCCCUCUUCC
RNAcentral lists this transfer RNA (67 nucleotides) under Oxalobacter formigenes. It matches the Rfam family "tRNA". Rfam says of the family: Transfer RNA (tRNA) molecules are approximately 80 nucleotides in length. Their secondary structure includes four short double-helical elements and three loops (D, anti-codon, and T loops). Lineage: Bacteria; Pseudomonadati; Pseudomonadota; Betaproteobacteria; Burkholderiales; Oxalobacteraceae. The record is from RNAcentral. RNAcentral also lists the same sequence under 1 other name.